CCUACGGGUGGCAGCAGUGGGGAAUAUUGCACAAUGGGGGCGACCCUGAUGCAGCGACGCCGCGUGAGUGAAGACGUAAUUAGGUGUGUAAAACUCUAUCAGCAGGGAAGCAAAUGACGGUACCUGAGUAAGAAGCGCCGGCUAACUACGUGACAGCAGCCGCGGGAAUACGUAGGGGGCCAGCGGUAUCCGGAUUUACUGGGGGUAAAGGGAGCGUAGACGGAAGUGCAGGGCUGGAGGGAAAGGCGGGGGCUCAACCCCCGGACUGCUCUGGAAACUGUACGGCUGGAGUGCAGGAGAGGUAAGUGGAAUGCGUAGUGUAGCGGUGAAAUGCGUAGAUAUUAGGAGGAACACCAGUGGCGAAGGCGGCUUACUGGACUGUAACUGACGUUGAGGCUCGAAAGCGUGGGGAGCAAACAGGAUUAGAUACCCUUGUAGUC
Molecule: ribosomal RNA, 440 nt
Filed under: uncultured bacterium
Lineage: Bacteria
Description: partial 16S ribosomal RNA
Rfam family: Bacterial small subunit ribosomal RNA
Source: RNAcentral